Cimex lectularius (bed bug) is the source of this 4261-nucleotide long non-coding RNA. RefSeq lists it as uncharacterized. The record is from RefSeq and is a predicted model, not a curated record. The transcript has 3 exons. Lineage: Eukaryota; Metazoa; Arthropoda; Insecta; Hemiptera; Cimicidae.
GGGAGCUAUCGGGAUAUAACGACAGCGGAGGAAGAGCAUCAGACAUUUAAAAAACCCAUCAUGCGUCUAUUACUGCUUGCUGCUUUUCUGUUUUUCAUGGUGAUCCAAUUUGGUGACGCCACCCAUAGUCCGUAUAUAAUCCAACCACCACAGCGUCCCCAGCCAAAGAAAACGAACAAAAAAGACUAAUGACGCAAAAUGGGGUGGUUUUCGACCAUUUGACCGGAACGGACAACAAAGAAUCAAAAACAAUGUAGAAUAUAUUUAAAAUCUUUAGUUUGACGAGAUGUUUUUUCUUCAUUUUUUUAAAAUCUAAAAACAUGUUCCUAUUCCUACAAAUCUAGUUAGAUCUAUGGACAUCGAGCUUAGAUAACUGGCCUAGAGAUGGCCAGUAGGCUAUGCACCGUUAAAAGUCGGGCCCUGGGAGCCCUCCGCACACUUGGUAGCUCACCACUCUUCGACUGAUAACGCUGGCAUUCAAGGAACAAGACGUCCACCAUGAUGGUGACCGCUAGGUGCCAGCCCCACGACAUGUCCCCGGACACAGGGAGUCCCAUGUUACACAUUGCUCGUUUAUAUUUUGUUGAGUAGAUUAGCUUCAUUUAAAAAGUGAAACAGCUUUGUAAGUAUAUCUUCAUCAUCCCCUAAAACUUCAGGUAGUGUGUUUGGUAAAGCGUACUUAUUUCUGAUACUGUUGGCGACAUGAUAUAAGCAUAUGUUUUAUAAUCACAGUCUCAUUCAAAAAUGACAGAUCGCUGGCGGCUGACGAGCCAUCAAGUAACCCUUGGUAAAAAAAAUUGGGUUUUUAUAACGUUAUUAUUGUAAGUGGUUUUUUUUGCCACAAAAUCAAAUUUUUAUUUUCUCGCCUUGAUCAGCUUCCUUUUCUUGUAAGGAGGUUAUGUAACAACCUAUGUGAACUUCGCGGCACCGAGGCUGGCGCCCCCAGGAUGGGCCUCGUGGAGGCGUCCGGAACUGGGGGAAGACCAUCGUAGUGGCAACCUGAUUAAUGCAUACUUAAUCUUACUUUUCGGCUUACACAUCGGGGCACGGGCCUAAAUUAGGCCGACCAACCUUUCUGUCUCAUAAUGGCCUUCCACAGCCUCUGCGUGGCCUUGUACCCGGCCGGGCUGGAUAUGGCAUGACGCACGGUGUCCAUGGAAGCUUCAUCGACGUCGGCUUCAUACAUCCAUCGGGUGCGGAGGACAGUGUACAUUUCGCACACAAGGGCUACGUGCUCGACCGUCUCCGGCAUUCCACACUCACACAAUGGGCUAUCCUUCAGUCCGAAGCCGUGCAGCUUCGCCGAGAAGUCCCCGUGCCCCGUCAGCAAUUGGGACAUGUAGUGGUCAGCCGUCAGGUGGGCCAUGGCCAAGCGGUUCUCUAUGCUCCUCAGUAGCAGAUAAGUGUGCCUCCCUUUGGGCGACGUAUCCCAUCUUUGUUGCCAUUCAUCGUUCAGUCAGGAGUCGACCUCUUCUUUUGUCUGCACGGGGACACAGGGCUGGUACUAGUUGGCGAGCUCCCAUGCAGCACACACAGCCUUUGCCUUCAGGUCCAGGGGGGAUGCCCGGCUAUUACUGACAAGGCAUCUGUCGAUGUCGUCCGGUAGGCCUGUGUGAUCGCUAAUAAGGCCGGCCGCCCUUUGUGCACUGGAAGUUUCGCCCAAUCGGCUUCUCGUAGCACUCUUGUCCACACAGGGGCAGCAUAGAGCAGGACAGACUGGCACAAUGCGGAAUAAUAUGUUUGCAUAGUUUUCCAGCAGAUGCCCCACGCAGCACCACUCAGGGCUCUAAUGGCCGCGAUUCGGGCCGGCAUCUUUUCUUUUGUAUAGUUGGCGUUUACGUUGAAUCGCAGUCCUGCAGUCAUUUUUACGCCUAAAUACAUCAAGGUUUGAGGGGCUUUAAUUGUUAUGCCGUUUAUUCUGAUGGUCGGUGGGGACCGCAUAUUAAGCGAGCCUUUUAAGAGCAUCAGUUCCGUUUUUUCUGGGGCCAAUUGUAGUCGAACCCUCCUACACCAGCUACUCAGGACGGUUACUGCGGUCUCUCCCUGGGCCUCGAGGGCCGCUUUGGUGUCCGCCUGGACCACUACAACGAGAUCGUCCACGUAAGCAGUGAGUCCCGCGUUCUCCAGCUCUAUGAGGGCUCCAUCAAAUCAAUUUAUCGAACCGUAGGUCUCGCACUUCCGUACCUACACAGUACACAUAAACUUUUUUUUUCAAUCUCGAACUCGGAGCCCACUAUCCUCGAACCCAGUGCCCACCGGGUCACGAUCUUCCAGGCCGCGAAAUGCGUCCUGCUUCUCGCCUCGGUACGAGCCGUCACUGUUUUAAAUUGUAUUAAUUUUUUUUCUCAAGAAAAGGAAUGUAAUACUGGUUGUCCAUAAUUUUCCGAUUUGAUAAACCGCGCUUAGUCUCCCUUGGCAGCCACAAUCAGCGAACGUAAAACAAUACUCGGCAAGUACUAAAGUCAUUAGAACUACGCUGAAGAAAUACUUGUAAUUGUAGAUUUCAGCACCGUUGUUGAUCGGAGCCUGAAUAGCAAUCGUCCAGAGCACCAAUGCAGUGGGGAAAAUUCCACAGUCCAUCAUACUUCUGAGCAACACUUUUCUGCUCGUCCUCCGUGGCUGGAAGUUGAAAGCAUGAGAAUAUAUUACUACUGUUGGCAUUGAGAACAAAUGACGGAAAUAUGUAUAUUGAAGGUAAAAAUAGGCUGGCUUGUCUGAGCAUCGCUGGGGCAAUGAGAAAAACGGCUGCCCUGGAAGUUCUGAAUCUACCACAACCACACUUCUUUAUCCAAGGACAAGCUCCAACAGCCAAUCACAUACGGAGGAACGAAAGCUAAGAGGGGAGCUUCAGCUAGACAGAUUGGGGAUGCCUGUGUUGCCAUGACUCCUAAAUUCAGUUUUGGCAAAAGUAUUUCUAAUACCUUGUAGAGCAGACUGGUAGAAUGGAUCCCAGUUAAUGCGGACCGUAUCUGGUAUACGGUCCCAAAACCGAAUAUGGGUCAGGAGCUCCAGCUUUCCAUUUAUGGAAAUAAACCAAUGACUAGAAUUCAAAUAAGCCUUGGACAAUAUGCCACCGUCUUCGGAAACUGUUCAACAAAACAUGUUAACCAAUUAUAUGAUUUUUUCAAAACAUUCUCUUAACCUUGAUAAAUACGAAUUAUACAUAAUUUAUCCGGCUAUUAUAUGAAACCCAGGAAAAAAAAAUCCAUCGUUAUUGCCUGUUAACAAAAUGAACAUUUCUGUGUUGAGUUGACGUCACAAACUGAGAACCCUCCGUUGAUUCAUUUUUGUCCACUCAAUGAUUCUAGCAUUUUGAAGACGUCUUCGUAAGAAUUUGGUGAACUAUUUUUAGAAGCUUGAAACCAUUUUGAAUAAUUUUGAAGUUACUCCAAGAUCCAAGUAAAUAGUAAAUAUAAAUAAUUUUUAGAUUCUUAGUUCAGAUCUAAAACAAUUGAGAUCUAGCUGUAUUGUCUGUUAACCCAAUGACCUCCCAUUUACUGACGUCACAAACUGGGAACCCUCUGUUGAAUAUUCUGAUGACGUCACGAUAUCAUACAAUGGUGAACUGUCUGGAAAUGACACAUGAACCACAAAUGAAUUUAUUAACAAAACAACUUAAUAAGUUACAGUCAAGGUUGUAAUUAUUUUACAUAUAAAAUUCUUUUCUAAAUUUUAUUACCAUAGUCAAAUUUGAAAUUUUCAUGCCCACCUCGUCCAAGUCGUUUAAUUUUUUAUCCAUGCCGAAUCGGAUUAUCCCCCUUGGACGCGCGUGGGGGGGUAUCGGGAUAUAAUGACAGCGGAGGAAGUACAUGAGACAAAUUAAGACACCAUGCUUAAGCGUCUAUUGCUGCUAGUCUUUCUGAUCUUCAUUACAAGACAUGGGGCGAAGACGUCGACGUCCGCCGCCUUGGUGCGGCAGAGACCGGAAAGCGGGCCGUUGAAGCCCAUAGCAAGACAUCAGGCGAAGACGACGAUGUCCGCCAUCACCGUGGUGCCUCAGAAGCCGGAAAGCGGGAAGUCCAAGCAAGUAGCGGUACAAGGUUGUGAGACGGCGACGUCCGCCACCAAAGUGGUGCGGAAGAAACUGGAAAGCGGGCCGUUGAAGCCAAUAGCGAGACAUGGGGCGAAGAUGGCUACGUCCACCACCACCGUGGUGCAGCAGAGGCGGCUCUGUAGCGAGACAGGGAGCGAAGGUUCAUCAGACUGGGAAAAUAAUACAUUGUAGAAUAGAUUUAAAAUCUUUAGUCUGACGACAUGUAUA